GACGAACGCUGGCGGCGUGCUUAACACAUGCAAGUCGAACGGAAAGGCCCUGCUUUUGUGGGGUGCUCGAGUGGCGAACGGGUGUGUAACACGUGAGUCACCUGCCCUUGACUUUGGGAUAACUUCAGGACACUGGGGCUAAUACCGGAUAGGAGCUCCUGCUGCUUGGUGGGGGUUGGAAAGUUUCGGCGGUUGGGGAUGGACUCGCGGCUUAUCAGCUUGUUGGUGGGGUAGUGGCUUACCAAGGCUUUGACGGGUAGCCGGCCUGAGAGGGUGACCGGCCACAUUGGGACUGAGAUACGGCCCAGACUCCUACGGGAGGCAGCAGUGGGGAAUAUUGCACAAUGGGCGGAAGCCUGAUGCAGCAACGCCGCGUGCGGGAUGACGGCCUUCGGGUUGUAAACCGCUUUCGCCUGUGACGAAGCGUGAGUGACGGUAAUGGGUAAAGAAGCACCGGCUAACUACGUG
This 468-nucleotide ribosomal RNA is filed under the name uncultured bacterium. RNAcentral describes it as "partial 16S ribosomal RNA". It matches the Rfam family "Bacterial small subunit ribosomal RNA", at positions 28 to 507 of the family's 1533-position model. The record is from RNAcentral.